AGGAAAUCGACUCCUCCAUGCGGCCUCCAAGAGGAAGACCAGCCCUUCUGACCCAUUUCACUCUUCUGGCCUCCAAAAUGGCAAGAUGACAAAUUUGCAUUGUUUUAAGCUUGUGGCAAAAUUUUACAGUAAUAAUAGGAAAUACCCACUUGCUAAGGGACUUGACUUCCCCUUGACUCAAGCCACUUCUGGGUGACACCCUGGCUUCCUCACAGAAUCUGAUGCUCAUGCUCCCCCUCCUGACUUAUAAAUGCUGCUAUUAGUGCUGUCAUUUCCGGCUGUGAACUCGCCUUCCUCAGCUAUCCCAGGGAUCUUCCAGUGUAAUCUAAUUGUUCCCAGUAAGCUGGAAAGCUGAGAGGGGGAGAUGAUAAAUAUAAGUCCAACACUUUAGGAAAUGUCAUGAUGCCUUUUCCUUCCUGAAUGAAGAGGGCACCGGGAAGGAUCCCCUCCAGCAGAACAACUUAUCAGACUUCUCUUCCAUUGGUCUCCCAGCCACCCCAGCUGUCACCUGGGCAAUCUGGUUAAACACAUGUCAAAGGAAACCUCAAGUGGCAAGUGUCCAUCUCUAUUCCCCCUUGCAGAGGCUAAAGCCCAUUUCAAAGUUCUCUGAGCCCCAUUUGUGAAAGUCACUCUCUUCUACACCAAUAUUCCCACCACAUGCAACAGCUCUCAGUAUUUAGGACCCUACCAAGAGAGUUGAUUCCUCUUGCCUUUCAACACGAUCUAUGCUUUCUAUGAAAGCCUAUUGAGGAUGAAAAUCCAGAUUCAGCUGGAUGAAUUUCAACACACUCAAGAGUCUAUCCAGGUCUGCCCUUGCCAUAAGCCCCAUGGAAGGCAGUCCAGGUGAGUACAAGACCAGCCACCCUUCAGGUCCUGACUUAGACACCCAGGACAGCUGAGCACUGGUGUUUGGGGGAAUUCAGUGUGCCCUAGUGAGGAAUUUAUGCACUUCCUGUCCACUCUGGUUAGCAGGUUAGGAGUAGGUCACAUGAUAUUGUCCUGAAUGGAGACAAUUAAGGAACUAGAGCAUAGUUUGGGGUUCGGUUAUUGUCACAAGCCUUCCUUGGGCUGUGUGUAGACUAUGUUGCGCAUUGUAGCCUCCUCGGGGGAUAAGUCUGGCACUGGGAACUCCCUGGGGCACUCCCCACAGGGAUUGAUUGCCUGAAGCAGGUGAACUUCCCCCUCAAGCUCUUCCUAAAAUCCCACACAGCACCUGAGAUGGAUGUGCCCUGACAAGAUGUC
Molecule: long non-coding RNA, 1242 nt
Filed under: Marmota monax (woodchuck)
Lineage: Eukaryota; Metazoa; Chordata; Mammalia; Rodentia; Sciuridae
Source: RNAcentral